RNAcentral lists this ribosomal RNA (503 nucleotides) under uncultured Glomus. RNAcentral describes it as "SSU rRNA". It matches the Rfam family "Eukaryotic small subunit ribosomal RNA", at positions 569 to 1077 of the family's 1831-position model. The record is from RNAcentral. Lineage: Eukaryota; Fungi; Glomeromycota; Glomeromycetes; Glomerales; Glomeraceae.
AGCAGCCGCGGUAAUUCCAGCUCCAAUAGCGUAUAUUAAAGUUGUUGCAGUUAAAAAGCUCGUAGUUGAAUUUCGGGAUCAGUACGCUGGUCAUGCCUUUGGUAUGCACUGGUGUCACUGGUUUCUCCCUUCUGAAGAUCCGUGAUGUCAUUAAUUUGGUGUCGCGGGGAAUCAGGACUGUUACUUUGAAAAAUUAGAGUGUUUAAAGCAGGCUCACGCUUGAAUACAUUAGCAUGGAAUAAUGAAAUAGGACGUUUGACCCUAUUUUGUUGGUUUCUAGGAUCGACGUAAUGAUUAAUAGGGAUAGUUGGGGGCAUUAGUAUUCAAUUGUCAGAGGUGAAAUUCUUGGAUUUAUUGAAGACUAACUACUGCGAAAGCAUUUGCCAAGGAUGUUUUCAUUAAUCAAGAACGAAAGUUAGGGGAUCGAAGACGAUCAGAUACCGUCGUAGUCUUAACCAUAAACUAUGCCGACUAGGGAUCGGAUGAUGUUAAUUUUAUAAUGA